This is an unclassified non-coding RNA of Stylophora pistillata, 1292 nucleotides long. NCBI's taxonomy places the organism in Eukaryota, Metazoa, Cnidaria, Anthozoa, Scleractinia, Pocilloporidae. The record is from RefSeq and is a predicted model, not a curated record.
GCGCUGCAAUCAAAUGUCUUCAGCCGAUUGUUGUUGUGCCAUGUGGCAGUCGCCAAUUCAGGGAGUACUGAGACCCGCUGUAUGGCUGCCUGGUGUUAGAAAUCUCCACAGUUGUAAAGAGACGUGGAUAAUACCAGAAGCAACUCCUGAAGUGUGCUUAGAACAUUUGGUAUCAGCUAUAGCUUUACUUAGUGAAACUGAGAAGAUGCAUAUAAAUAAGGUUCGCCAUGAGAGAAAUUUUGUGCAAAUAUUUUCAUAUACUGAGGCUGAAUGGCUGGAUAUUGUGGAAAUAGAAUUUCAACCAGGACAGGAGAGGGGAACUCUUGCAAAGGCAAAGUCAUUUUCAACUGGAUUUCUUCCUUUGAUGAUUCCAUUUGCCUUUCUUCUAAACAUGAUCUUUUUCUUCAUCCCUUUUUAUGACAAUAAAUACAAUGAGAUGAGGUUGGCAAGAAUUCGUCAAAAAAUGAAUCUGAACAUUGAAGUAGCAAGAAAAGAAUCAUAAAAUUUAUAAACUUUCAGGGGUCAAUUGUCAACUAUUGAUCAAAGUAUGAUGAAAGCAGGUCUUAAAAAUAUAACAUCUUUAAGUAUUUAGGAGUAAUUUGAAAUUGCCUUUUCUAUUAUAAUGAUAGUACAUGAUAGAUUAUAAGACAUACUUUAAUUAGUAUGGUAAUUUAAGAGUAGAGAACUUUUUUAAAUGCAUUUUGGAACUUGUUUUAAUUUGAAAUUAGGUAACAUUUAUUUACUCAUAGCUUGGGAGUUAGGCCCAUUUUCUGCCACUCCUUUGAAGUCCACAUUUUAUCCCUUCCCAAGGUAGGUGCAAAUCUUCAUUUCCCAAACAGAAGCUGGAUCUUUCAGAAGAGGGGUCCCACAUGGCAUUUGAGGAAAUUUGCACAAGGACAUUCAUUUGCAUUAACAAAGUGCUCUUGAAAAUGUAAAGGUCUCCUUAAGAGAGAGGCAGUGGUGGAUCCCACACUAUCUUCCUAGAUGAUUGUGUUGUUUGAGAGUUGUCCUGAAAGGAAUUGUUGUGAAUGGCAGUUACUUACACUUUGACAAGCUAAGAGGAAGUCAAUAUCAGUCACUAGCUCUAAGUGCAAUGUCAAAAUGUUGGAUACUUUUGUGGACAACAGUACUUUUGACGUUUGCUGUCUCCUGAUUAAUCAGACAAUGUGAUCUGCAACUAUCAACCCUGGGUUCAAAGCAUAUACUGCACUACCUUCAAUUGAGCUAACCACCUCCCGGUUUAGCUCAAUGGAUAGAGCACUGGACUGUUGUGUGGGAAGUCGAGGGUUCAA